GCAGAUGUGGUGGAACGGUAGACACGCUAUCUUGAGGUGGUAGUGGCAACAGCUGUGAGGGUUCAAAUCCCUCCAUCUGCACCA
Molecule: transfer RNA, 84 nt
Filed under: Aliarcobacter thereius
Lineage: Bacteria; Pseudomonadati; Campylobacterota; Epsilonproteobacteria; Campylobacterales; Arcobacteraceae
Also listed under: 1 other name
Description: tRNA-Leu
Rfam family: tRNA
About the family: Transfer RNA (tRNA) molecules are approximately 80 nucleotides in length. Their secondary structure includes four short double-helical elements and three loops (D, anti-codon, and T loops). Further hydrogen bonds mediate the characteristic L-shaped molecular structure. tRNAs have two regions of fundamental functional importance: the anti-codon, which is responsible for specific mRNA codon recognition, and the 3' end, to which the tRNAs corresponding amino acid is attached (by aminoacyl-tRNA synthetases). tRNAs cope with the degeneracy of the genetic code in two manners: having more than one tRNA (with a specific anti-codon) for a particular amino acid; and 'wobble' base-pairing, i.e. permitting non-standard base-pairing at the 3rd anti-codon position.
Source: RNAcentral